UACGUAGGGUGCGAGCGUUAAUCGGAAUUACUGGGCGUAAAGCGUGCGCAGGCGGUUCGUUAAGUCAGCUGUGAAAGCCCCGGGCUCAACCUGGGAAUUGCGGUUGAAACUGGCGAACUAGAAUCUGGCAGAGGGGGGUGGAAUUCCACGUGUAGCAGUGAAAUGCGUAGAGAUGCGGAAGAACACCAGUGGCGAAGGCGGUCAACUGGCCUGAUAUUGACACUCAGACGCGAAGGCAUGGGUAGCGAACGGG
Molecule: ribosomal RNA, 253 nt
Filed under: uncultured bacterium
Lineage: Bacteria
Description: partial 16S ribosomal RNA
Rfam family: Bacterial small subunit ribosomal RNA
Source: RNAcentral